UACGUAGGGUGCGAGCGUUAAUCGGAAUUACUGGGCGUAAAGCGUGCGCAGGCGGUUAUGUAAGACAGGUGUGAAAUCCCCCGGGCUUAACCUGGGAACUGCAUUUGUGACUGCAUAGCUAGAGUACGGUAGAGGGGGAUGGAAUUCCGCGUGUAGCAGUGAAAUGCGUAGAUAUGCGGAGGAACACCGAUGGCGGAAGGCAAUCCCCUGGACCUGUACUGACGCUCAUGCACGAAAGGCGUGGGGAGCAAACAGG
RNAcentral lists this ribosomal RNA (256 nucleotides) under uncultured bacterium. RNAcentral describes it as "partial 16S ribosomal RNA". It matches the Rfam family "Bacterial small subunit ribosomal RNA", at positions 524 to 776 of the family's 1533-position model. The record is from RNAcentral.